ACGAACGCUGGCGGCGUGCUUAACACAUGCAAGUCGAGCGGUAAGGCCUUCGGGUACACGAGCGGCGAACGGGUGAGUAACACGUGGGUGAUCUGCCCUGCACUUCGGGAUAAGCUUGGGAAACUGGGUCUAAUACCGGAUAUGACCUGUCCUCGCAUGGGGGUGGGUGGAAAGAUUUAUCGGUGCAGGAUGGGCCCGCGGCCUAUCAGCUUGUUGGUGGGGUAAUGGCCUACCAAGGCGACGACGGGUAGCCGGCCUGAGAGGGCGACCGGCCACACUGGGACUGAGACACGGCCCAGACUCCUACGGGAGGCAGCAGUGGGGAAUAUUGCACAAUGGGCGAAAGCCUGAUGCAGCGACGCCGCGUGGAGGAUGACGGCCUUCGGGUUGUAAACUCCUUUCAGCUCCGACGAAGCGAAAGUGACGGUAGGAGUAGAAGAAGCACCGGCCAACUACGU
Molecule: ribosomal RNA, 458 nt
Filed under: uncultured bacterium
Lineage: Bacteria
Description: bacterial SSU rRNA
Rfam family: Bacterial small subunit ribosomal RNA
Source: RNAcentral